CGCGUAGGCGGCGUGACAAGUCAGUUGUGAAAUCUCUGAGCUUAACUCAGAACGGUCAACUGAUACUGUUGUGCUAGAGUGCAGAAGGGGCAACCGGAAUUCUUGGUGUAGCGGUGAAAUGCGUAGAUAUCAAGAGGAACACCUGAGGUGAAGACGGGUUGCUGGGCUGACACUGACGCUGAGGCGCGAAAAGCUAGGGUAGCAAACG
Molecule: ribosomal RNA, 208 nt
Filed under: uncultured Acidobacteriota bacterium
Lineage: Bacteria; Pseudomonadati; Acidobacteriota
Description: uncultured Acidobacteria bacterium partial 16S ribosomal RNA
Rfam family: Bacterial small subunit ribosomal RNA
Source: RNAcentral